AAACAACUCUCAGCAACGGAUAUCUUGGCUCUUGCAACGAUGAAGAACGCAGCGAAAUGCGAUACGUAGUGUGAAUUGCAGAAUUCCGCGAAUCAUCGAGUCUUUGAACGCAAGUUGCGCCCGAGGCUUGUCCAAGGGCAUUUCCGCUAGAGCGUCACCGCGCCCCCC
RNAcentral lists this ribosomal RNA (168 nucleotides) under Calyptrochaeta remotifolia. Its description in RNAcentral is "partial 5.8S ribosomal RNA". It matches the Rfam family "5.8S ribosomal RNA". From Rfam's summary of the family: 5.8S ribosomal RNA (5.8S rRNA) is a component of the large subunit of the eukaryotic ribosome. It is transcribed by RNA polymerase I as part of the 45S precursor that also contains 18S and 28S rRNA. Lineage: Eukaryota; Viridiplantae; Streptophyta; Bryopsida; Hookeriales; Daltoniaceae. The record is from RNAcentral.